GAGAGCGGCGGGGCGCCGGCGGCGGAGCGCGUGUGGAGGCGGCAACUUCGCGAAGUGGCACUUCGGGGCGGGCGGCCGGCCCGCCGGGUCACGGCCUGGCGCUGCGGGGAGGGCACCCGAGCGGCUCGGAUGCAGGACGCCGCGGGCCGGGUUUACAGGUGGGAGAGGCCCCGACCCCACCGCUUCGCCGGCCAGCUUCUUGCUGUGCUCUCUGCACCCACCGACCUAACACGCAGCACUAGGACUGACGUCCACUGGCCUGAACUGGGUCUGGGGCCAACACGGAGCAGGUGGGGGUAGAGCAGCCCUGCUCGCCUGGAGGAAAGUUGAAUGAUGGGAACCAAGAUGACAGAUGGAGGCUGGCAGGCAAACAAGGGAGGUCUCCUCACUCCAAGAGGGGAGUCAGCCUGGGGACAGUUCUUCUCCAGGCCCUGCUGCUCCUAUCAGCUGCAACACAGCAGAGGUGGGCAAGUGGCUGAAUGCGCGCCAGAGGCCUUCCCUGAGAAGAGGGUUAUCAGAACACCUGCCAUACAUGGACGUGACCAGCUCAGCACCUGAGAAGAUGCACUGCAGCUGAUGACAGGCGCGGAGCAGGACGUGGUGAGGUCCUCGUACAUAGGAAUGGAGAAUAAGGGCAAGGAACUCGGUGCCCGCCUGGCAUCUGCCCUGCACCAGUGGUCUC
RNAcentral lists this long non-coding RNA (682 nucleotides) under Rhinopithecus bieti (black snub-nosed monkey). Its description in RNAcentral is "lncRNA (ENSRBIG00000045127.1)". Lineage: Eukaryota; Metazoa; Chordata; Mammalia; Primates; Cercopithecidae. The record is from RNAcentral.